Molecule: ribosomal RNA, 467 nt
Filed under: uncultured bacterium
Lineage: Bacteria
Description: partial 16S ribosomal RNA
Rfam family: Bacterial small subunit ribosomal RNA
Source: RNAcentral
GACGAACGCUGGCGGCGUGCUUAACACAUGCAAGUCGAACGGAAAGGCCCUGCUUUUGUGGGGUGCUCGAGUGGCGAACGGGUGAGUAACACGUGAGUAACCUGCCCUUGACUUUGGGAUAACUUCAGGAAACUGGGGCUAAUACCGGAUAGGAGCUCCUGCUGCAUGGUGGGGGUUGGAAAGUUUCGGCGGUUGGGGAUGGACUCGCGGCUUAUCAGCUUGUUGGUGGGGUAGUGGCUUACCAAGGCUUUGACGGGUAGCCGGCCUGAGAGGGUGACCGGCCACAUGGGGACGGAGAUACGGCCCAGACUCCUACGGGAGGCAGCAGUGGGGAAUAUUGCACAAUGGGCGGAAGCCUGAUGCAGCAACGCCGCGUGCGGGAUGACGGCCUUCGGGUUGUAAACCGCUUUCGCCUGUGACGAAGCGUGAGUGACGGGAAUGGGUAAAGAAGCACCGGCUAACUACGU